Molecule: ribosomal RNA, 497 nt
Filed under: uncultured bacterium
Lineage: Bacteria
Description: partial 16S ribosomal RNA
Rfam family: Bacterial small subunit ribosomal RNA
Source: RNAcentral
GAUGAACGCUGGCGGCGUGCCUAAUACAUGCAAGUCGAGCGAACGGACGAGAAGCUUGCUUUUCUGAUGUUAGCGGCGGACGGGUGAGUAACACGUGGAUAACCUACCUAUAAGACUGGGAUAACUUCGGGAAACCGGAGCUAAUACCGGAUAAUAUUUUGAACCGCAUGGUUCAAAAGUGAAAGACGGUCUUGCUGUCACUUAUAGAUGGAUCCGCGCUGCAUUAGCUAGUUGGUAAGGUAACGGCUUACCAAGGCAACGAUGCAUAGCCGACCUGAGAGGGUGAUCGGCCACACUGGAACUGAGACACGGUUCAGACUCUUACGGGAGGCAGCAGUAGGGAAUCUUCCGCAAUGGGCGAAAGCCUGACGGAGCAACGCCGCGUGAGUGAUGAAGGUCUUCGGAUCGUAAAACUCUGUUAUUAGGGAAGAACAUAUGUGUAAGUAACUGUGCACAUCUUGACGGUACCUAAUCAGAAAGCCACGGCUAACUACGUG